Molecule: long non-coding RNA, 503 nt
Filed under: Homo sapiens (human)
Lineage: Eukaryota; Metazoa; Chordata; Mammalia; Primates; Hominidae
Description: non-protein coding lnc-GLRB-4:2
Source: RNAcentral
CUUUUCUGGACCAGCACCUCAUGAGUUCACCUUGCUACCAUCGAGGAAAUCCAGAACAACUACUCAAGGACAUGUCUGAAUGAGUCACUGAACCAUGGCUCUGUGAGGUCAAAGAUAGUGAGACAAAAAGGAAUUGCUCAAAUACUGAGAUGCAUGUCAACUCUUCCAACAACCUCCAGAAUUUACUGAGCCUGUAACACAGCUUUUGUAAUCCUUUUCUGUGAAAUCCAGUACUGUGUCAGCUUCGUUAGGGUCUAAAGUGUACCUUUCAUAAAGGACCUCAAGAUUUAUUUUCCUGAGCUUUAAAUGAGUGAAAAUGUGUUUUGUUGAAACUUCCCAAGAAGUAACUGCAUUUUCUAUGGAAUCUUCCAUUGUUUAUGGGCCUGAUGAAAGCAUUUGGCACUUAAUGAUUCCCAGACUAUUUCAACUUUAUAAAAAAUCAAGAAAAAGAAAAAAAAGGUGAAAAGUAAAUGUUUUGAAUGCUAACAAUAAAAUAUGUGGAU